Molecule: ribosomal RNA, 186 nt
Filed under: uncultured bacterium
Lineage: Bacteria
Description: partial 16S ribosomal RNA
Rfam family: Bacterial small subunit ribosomal RNA
Source: RNAcentral
AUGUGGAAAACGCAUGCUAAUACCGCAUACGCUCUACGGAGGAAAGCGGGGGAUCUUCGGACCUCGUGCUAGUUAGAUAGGCCUAUAUAGGAUUAGCUAGUUGGUAAGGUAAUGGCUUACCAAGGCGACGAUCCUUAGCUGGUUUGAGAGAAUGAUCAGCCACACUGGGACUGAGACACGGCCCAG